Molecule: long non-coding RNA, 5067 nt
Organism: Mus musculus (house mouse)
Lineage: Eukaryota; Metazoa; Chordata; Mammalia; Rodentia; Muridae
Gene: Sox1ot
Product: Sox1 overlapping transcript
Exons: 8
Source: RefSeq, marked validated
CUGCGAGUGUGUGUGCCGAACGAGGAGCAAGGAGCUUGUGCGAGCGAGUGUGCGAGCGGGGGUGCGCGUGUGAGUGUGCGUGCGCGUGGCGCGGGCGCCGUCGCUGCUCGGAGCCUGGCCGGGCCGGGGUCCGCGGGCUUCAGCGCGUGCGCUUGGCCUGCGGGGAGCCCAGGUCCCACGCGGCCCGCAACCAGACAGGGCUGCGAAGGUGCAGGCGGGCCAAGCGCUGCGGACCCGGCGGGCUGCAGGAAGAACUAACUAUACCCCGAACAUCCGCUGUCAGCAGGCACAAGGCUGUGAUUCAAGAUGAGUGCCCGAAGCUUCCUCUGCCUGUGUGAAGAAGAUCCAGCAAGAGAAGGAAGCAGGGUUCCUGAAAGCCAGGCUGAUGAGGAAAACUCCUGUGCUGAGUUAACGUGGGCGUCUGAGUGGGCAGAGUCAGUGUAUGAACAGCACAGGUGCCCACCCCACCCCCACCCUGGCGGGAAUACUCUAUGAGGUCAAAGCUGGUCCCUGUGUCUGUCUUCAAGGACACAAGCCAAUUUAAAAAGAAAUCAUUCACUUAAAAAGAAUGUUUAGAUCAGCUCCCACUGGUGCAGACUGAUUGGUUAAUAUCAUCUCAACUUAGCGUGUUCUGAAAAUAAGGGUUACUAACCUUCACAGACAACCAGUGGUCUCAGGGAGCCACGAAGCUGUCUCGGGACUGCACACAAGACACACACAGGUGAAGCUGGAUGCAAGUCAGACCUGUGAACUAACUCCCCGCAACCGAGGGGGGAGGAAGUGACCACAUCAUCUCAUUGGCUCUGCAGAUCCAAGUCCACUCAAACGGCAAGCAUGGCCCAGAGUUGGAUGCACCCUCAGAUUCAACAGCCGACCACUGGCAUCCCUUUUUCCCCCUUCCACGGUGGUACAUGGAAUAAAAACACACCCCGGGCUUGCUGGAAUACCAAGGAAACAUUCAUGCCCAUGGAGAGAGGAGCCUUCACUAACCUUGAGUGGGAGAGAAUCAGCCAGGGCCUCUGCGGCACAUGGAAAUACUUGUCUUAAGUAGUUGGCUCUUAGAAAUCACAGCCCAGAUGCCUGAAGCAGAAGGAGAAGCACCUGUAGUGGCUGUCACCCUGCAGGCACCUCUGUUACUGGAGUCACCAAGAAACGGUAUUACGGGAGUCUUGGAAGUGAGAGUGCUCCUCUAAGGAGAGACCCAGGAACCUGUUGCUAAGGGGCCAGCAUGCAGGGUCCCUGCUGGGCCUGCAUAGAAGGAGCCCGGUGCUUAGUGGUUCCUUCCUGAAGCCUAGGCUAAGGAUUCUAUAUGGCUUCAUCCUCCGCUCUACUCAAGCAAAGACAAGCUUCAACUGCUGGGCCUAAGGCACAUGGAGCUCAACUCAACAACUGGGAAUGGAGGACCCCUCCAGAGACCCAGAAGACCCCCGCCCGGGGGGGGGGUGACAUCAGUUGGGGAGCUAUUAAUAACUGCCCUCCCCUCCCUGUCAUAUUUCCUGAACUGUGUGGGGAAGGCGAUUGUGAGGCGCUCUGCUGGAAUUUGGCAGCGCGGAGGCUUGGAGAGCAGCCCCAUGCUGGCUCCUAUUCAGCCGGCCAGUUUUCCUCGAGCUUUGGAAGUUUCACUCAGCCGUGCACUCAAUGGCUUCACAAAGCUGAUUACAAGCUUCAGCGCAUUCCUGAAGGAGCCAAAAGCGACGCAGGUGCAAACGAGCCGAGGGAGCCCCUUAUCCCGGUGACAGAAUGGGACAAGCUGGGAAAGGCUUGGACCACACAAAUCCAAGGCUCACCAGGCAGCAGAGAGCCUGCCUUGGGAACCGGGGGUCAUUAUCCGCCCUAUUCAGCGGGACCGGGGACCCUGGGGCCAAGGAGGCCGGCCGGGCGCAAGCGCCACCGCCAGUACGCGCCUGCAGCAGUGGGGACCCCGCUGGGCGUUGCAACCCGUCGGGAUGUUGGGCGCUGCGUUUGUUCCCACCGACAGCGGUCAGCGAAAUCCAUCCUGCGGGUGAAAGCCGGUGUCCAGGCUAACCGGGAUACAGGAGAAGGAGGGUAGCGAAGAUGCUCAGUGCGUGGACAGUGCGUAACUUUGUCUCCAUCACAGUCACUUAUCUGGAAACCUGCGGCUGGAUUAAUCGCUAUAUUCCCAAGAUGAGCGGUGCUGCAAUCCGCAGUGAACACGGGUGGGAACACGGAAGCUUCCCCUAGGUUCUUGCGGGGGCCAGCAGCUGGCCAGCUCCCUGCAGUGGAUGCUGCACAGUAGCUAGCACCUGUUUGGGCUCGGGUUGGGGGUCUACGAGCACUUAGGCGCACAGAAGAUGUGGAAGAGAGGAAGGAAACAGGCCUGUGGGGACUCCGGCCUGAGAGAGGUUGAUUAGCUCCCAGUAAAGGCACAGAACUGCCUAUAUAAAGAGCUUUUUAACCUGAAAAUGAUGCUGCUGAGUCUUCAGACCGUGGUCUAUUCAGAUGCAGAAAAAUGUUCCCUCCCAUCUUGAUCUCCCAGCCUCACCCCUACCACACCCACAGCUACUCCUUAGGCCCCUCCCCUGGAAUUUUCUCCUUCGGGAUCCUGGUCCUACAAGGGUUAGUAAUAUUUACUUAGGAACUGUGGGCGUGGAAAUAAAUCCUAGUUGUUCAGCCCCUUGCCCUACCUGUUCCAGUUAAAGACGGUGGGUUGUACCCAGGCAGUGGUGGCGCACGCCUUUAGUCCCAGCACUUGGGAGGCAGAGGCAGGCGGAUUUCUGAGUUUGAGGCCAGCCUGGUCUACAGAGUGAGUUCCAGGACAGCCAGGGCUGUACAGAGAAACCCUGUCUCAAAAAACCUAAAAUAUAAAAUAAAAUAAAAUAAGAUGGUGGAGUGUGUGGUGCCAAAGCUCUAGGGAGAAUACUUGUCUACAAAAACUUUCUCUGCUGAGGUCAAAGCAUCAGCUUCGAGGGAACUACCACUUGGUGUGUGAGGUCUCUGCGCCUGGGCAACGGUGUCUCUGUAGGUGUGAAAGCUGGGCAUCAGCUUGUGACAGCUUUAGGCCACAGAAGCCGAAACUGUGCGCCUCCAUUUUGUCAGCAUAUUAAACAUCCAAGAGGUGCCUGGCCACCACAUAUGGCCCCUGAGCAUCCAACAUUCAGAAUGUCAUACACACUAGAUGUAGAGUUGCUGAAUGAGAAGGAGAUCAUUGAUUUCUUGAGAUGUUGGCUACAGAAAUGACAGUGCUUGGGAUGUGUUGGGUUAAAGAAAACACAUUAUUAAAGUGAGCCUGACUGCCAGCUGCUCUUGGAAGCCACUGUGGCCUUGGUAGCUCCUCUUUGCUGGCUCUGUGCCUUUCAGCGGCUGUCUGUGGUCUUUCCACGAUCCUCUAGGAAAUGGAAAGGGAAGAAACAAAUGCAGUGGAAAGGACUGAGCCUGCGAUCACUAGAGGCAGCCAGAGCCCCUCCCAGCUCCUCUCAAAGUUACCCUUGUAACAAUCAAAGCUUCCUCACUUGCAGCAGUAAAAAGAAGUAUACAUUGUAUUUAUUGCUGGAGUGGUAUUCUUUCUAGAUUAGCUUUAAUUCUGUUUAAUUACAUUGUGAUCAUUAACCGAGCUGCAACUUUUUGUUAUUAGAUAUUUUCUUUAUUUACAUUUAAAAUGUUAUCCCCCUUCCUAGUUUCCCCUACCAAAACCCCCUAUCCCAUCCCCACUCCCCCUGCUCCCCCAAUCCACCCACUCCCGCUUUCCUGUCUUGGCAUUCCCCUACACUGGGGCAUCGAGCCUUCACAGGACCAAGGGCCUCUCCUCCCAUUGAUGUCCAACAAGGCCAUUCCCUGCUACAUGUGCAUGCCCCGUGCUUUCACUGCUCUGUGAGUGGGCUGUGGGGGGAAAGGUGGUGCUGAAUUUCAUUCUGCAAAGCAAAGCAAGCAAAACAAAACAGUAUCAGAUCGUGAAUGUCACUGUGCUGAGCAUCCAGUGUGAAUGAUCAGGGCUCUACAGUCUAGAGCCCUUGUCUUGUGUGGACCACGGCAGGUGCCCACACUCUCAUCUCGAAAACAGAAAGAAGUGAAAGUAAUUUUAGAAGCAGUGUCUGAGAAUUUGAAUGUAUUUACAGACAGGAAGCCAUGGGUCCCUCCAUGUGGAGAUACAGAGACAAAGUGUGGAGCAGAGACUGAAGGAAAGGCCAUCCAGAGACUGCCCCACCUGGGGAUCCAUCCCAUAUACAGCUACCAAACUCAGAUACUAUUGUGAAUGCCAACAAGUGUGCAACUUUUGAAGAAUCUUGCUACUACUGUUGGAUGGAGGAACGUUGAUUCUAGGAGUGACUGUGCAAAUCCCAUGGCAUUACAAGGAAGCCUCUCUCUGCUAUUUUCAAACUUUUAGUCAGCACUUGACACUUUCUGGCUUUAAUUUUGCCUUACAAAUGAGUGUAACUGCCACCACUCAAACAAAACAGAAUUCUGAACAGAAAUUUGUCUUUUGUUGUCUAUACCAACCAAGAGUGAGUUCCUUCUCAAAAUUCCUUUUGGGGCUAACAUACACAUUUAGAAUGAUAUGAAAUGAGACUUAAACCAAGGAGGCCAUGAGGGAACAUGCUUAUAAAUGUCUAUUUUACAUGUAUUCAUUUACAUUUAUUCAUGCACUGGCAGUGUGCUUGCCAUGGUGAACAAGGAGGUUAGAAGACAGUCUUCAGGAGUCACUCCUCUCCUUCCAACUUGUGGGUCCCAGGGAUCUAACUCAGGCCACCUGGCUUGGCACCAACUGCCUUUGAGAUGUUGAACCAUCUUGCCAAUUCAAGUAAACUUGAUUAUUAAAGAUUCCAAAAUACUCUGUAUAAUAUUUUAGAUACCAGAGGUCUGAAAGUGAAAUUAUAAAAAGUAGAAAUUUUAUUUAGUCAUUUGGUGAUAAGAAAUGAAAAAAACCUGCUCCAUGCUUAUUGUCCUUAAUAUAUUCAAUUAAAGCACACCACGAAAAUUUUACAUGAAUAGGCUUGGCGUACAUACAAUAUCAUUCAAUUUAUUUACUUUAGGUAUUGUAUAACUAAUAUGAAAAAAAUGGGAAAAUGUGAAGUUAAAUCCACUACAUCAAUAAAGUGAAAGUAUCUCAGA